Molecule: ribosomal RNA, 425 nt
Filed under: uncultured Antarctic cyanobacterium
Lineage: Bacteria; Bacillati; Cyanobacteriota
Description: bacterial SSU rRNA
Rfam family: Bacterial small subunit ribosomal RNA
Source: RNAcentral
GGGGAAUUUUCCGCAAUGGGCGAAAGCCUGACGGAGCAAGACCGCGUGGGGGAAGAAGGCUCUUGGGUUGUAAACUCCUUUUCUCUGGGAAGAACAAAAUGACGGUACCAGAGGAAUCAGCAUCGGCUAACUCCGUGCCAGCAGCCGCGGUAAGACGGAGGAUGCAAGCGUUAUCCGGAAUGAUUGGGCGUAAAGCGUCCGCAGGUGGCAGUUCAAGUCUGCUGUCAAAGACCGGGGCUCAACCUCGGAAAGGCAGUGGAAACUGAACAGCUAGAGUAUGGUAGGGGCAAAGGGAAUUCCUGGUGUAGCGGUGAAAUGCGUAGAGAUCAGGAAGAACAUCGGUGGCGAAGGCGCUUUGCUGGACCAUAACUGACACUCAGGGACGAAAGCUAGGGGAGCGAAUGGGAUUAGAUACCCCAGUAGUC